Molecule: ribosomal RNA, 466 nt
Filed under: uncultured bacterium
Lineage: Bacteria
Description: partial 16S ribosomal RNA
Rfam family: Bacterial small subunit ribosomal RNA
Source: RNAcentral
GAUGAACGCUGGCGGCGUGCUUAACACAUGCAAGUCGAACGAUGAAGCCCAGCUUGCUGGGUGGAUUAGUGGCGAACGGGUGAGUAACACGUGAGUAACCCGCCCUUAACUCUUGGAUAAGCCUGGGCAAAUGGGUCUAAUACCGGAUAGGAGCGUCCACCGCAUGGUGGGUGUUGGGAAGAUUUAUCGGUUUUGGAUGGACUCGCGGCCUAUCAGCUUGUUGGUGAGGUAAUGGCUCACCAAGGCGACGACGGGUAGCCGGCCUGAGAGGGUGACCGGCCACACUGGGACUGAGACACGGCCCAGACUCCUACGGGAGGCAGCAGUGGGGAAUAUUGCACAAUGGGCGCAAGCCUGAUGCAGCGACGCCGCGUGAGGGAUGACGGCCUUCGGGUUGUAAACCUCUUUCAGUAGGGAAGAAGCGAAAGUGACGGUACCUGCAGAAGAAGCACCGGCUAACUACGUG